GGGUUAGUGUGGAUUUUUUUCAAGGCAGUUGGACUACUUUCAUGGCAGCUAAAGACUUCAAGAAUGACUAUUCUAGCUCUUCCAGUAUUUUGGCUUUGCAGACAAGUUGACUAUUUCCACAAGAGGUACCCAUCAAUGAAAUAUCCUGUUUUGUAGAUGUUAGUGUUUAUACCAUUAUUAAAUGAGUACAACCCUA
This is a long non-coding RNA of Pan troglodytes (chimpanzee), 196 nucleotides long. RefSeq lists it as uncharacterized. NCBI's taxonomy places the organism in Eukaryota, Metazoa, Chordata, Mammalia, Primates, Hominidae. The transcript has 2 exons. The record is from RefSeq and is a predicted model, not a curated record.